UCUUGACCUCAAAUCGGGUGAGACUACCCGCUGAACUUAAGCAUAUCA
This 48-nucleotide ribosomal RNA is filed under the name Russula font-queri. RNAcentral's name for it is "partial 25S large subunit ribosomal RNA". Lineage: Eukaryota; Fungi; Basidiomycota; Agaricomycetes; Russulales; Russulaceae. The record is from RNAcentral.